This 474-nucleotide ribosomal RNA is filed under the name Staphylococcus epidermidis. RNAcentral's name for it is "bacterial SSU rRNA". It matches the Rfam family "Bacterial small subunit ribosomal RNA", at positions 27 to 483 of the family's 1533-position model. Lineage: Bacteria; Bacillati; Bacillota; Bacilli; Caryophanales; Staphylococcaceae. The record is from RNAcentral.
GGAUGAACGCUGGCGGCGUGCCUAAKACAUGCAAGUCGAGSGAACAGACGAGGAGCUUGCUCCUCUGACGUUAGCGGCGGACGGGUGAGUAACACGUGGAUAACCUACCUAUAAGACUGGGAUAACUUCGGGAAACCGGAGCUAAUACCGGAUAAUAUAUUGAACCGCAUGGUUCAAUAGUGAAAGACGGUUUUGCUGUCACUUAUAGAUGGAUCCGCGCCGCAUUAGCUAGUUGGUAAGGUAACGGCUUACCAAGGCAACGAUGCGUAGCCGACCUGAGAGGGUGAUCGGCCACACUGGAACUGAGACACGGUCCAGACUCCUACGGGAGGCAGCAGUAGGGAAUCUUCCGCAAUGGGCGAAAGCCUGACGGAGCAACGCCGCGUGAGUGAUGAAGGUCUUCGGAUCGUAAAACUCUGUUAUUAGGGAAGAACAAAUGUGUAAGUAACUAUGCACGUCUUGACGGUACCUAAU